This is a long non-coding RNA of Piliocolobus tephrosceles (Ugandan red Colobus), 2502 nucleotides long. NCBI's taxonomy places the organism in Eukaryota, Metazoa, Chordata, Mammalia, Primates, Cercopithecidae. The record is from Ensembl.
AUGGGUGAUUUUUCAUCCAAUUUAUUAUUAACAAGAAACGAUAAUAAAAAUAAUGAAAUAUUUACAGAACAAAAAAAUCAAAUAUUUCAAAAUAAUAUGUACAUGCAUAAUUAUUAUAAUAACAACAUAUGUAAUGGCCAAUUGUAUGACAUACCGAAUGGCAACAUUAUAGUCAAACCGUUGAAUAAUAUGUGUAAUAAUUAUAACUAUAACAACUACAAUAAUUAUAGUAACAACUACAAUAAUGAACCUUCACCUUCUUAUAUUGAUAGCACCAACAACCUGAACCCAGAAUUAUUAUUACAUAACAAAUAUGACCAAAACUGUAACUCCAUAUAUAAAAAUAAUGUUCUAAAUGACAAAAAAAAAGAAAUUGUUCCAGUACAAAACGGAUUAUGGUCGCAUAAUAAUAUGAACACUUUAAAAAGUGAGAAUACGAACACUUUAAAUAAUGAGAAUACGAAUACUUUAAAAAAUGAGAAUACGAACACUUUAAAUAAUGAGAAUACGAAUACUUUACAAAAUGAGAAUAUGAAUACUUUAAAUAAUGAGAAUACGAAUACUUUACAAAAUGAGAAUACGAAUACUUUACAAAAUGAGAAUACGAACAUUUUACAAAAUGAGAAUACGAACAUUUUACAACAUGAGAAUACGAAUAUUUUACAAAAUGAGAAUACAAACACUUUAAAUAAUGAAAAUACGAUUACUUUAAAAAGUGAAAAUACGAUUACUUUAAAAAGUGAGAAUACAGUUUAUCAGACAUUUUUAAACCAAAUAAAUAUAUUUAAAACGAUACAACAAAAAAAAAAUGUACAACAUACUGAACCUAAUGUGAAUGUAAACGAAAAAGAAAUUAUUGAGUAUGGUAAUCAUAUACAAAAAGAUGACCCUAACAACAGUUUAGAUUUUUUAAUAAAUAAAACAAACACUAUAAAUAACAAUCAAAGUAAUUCGAAUAUCUCAAAGGAUCCGAUACAGGAACAUCUUAAUCCGAAACAUAUUAAUUUAGGAUAUAAUAAUUCAGUAUACAUCAACCAGUCUUUUGUGAACCCGUCUUUUGUGAACCCGUCAUCUGUCAACCCGUCAUCUGUCAACCCGUCUUUUGUGAACCCGUCAUAUGUCAACCCGUCAUCUGUCAACCCGUCUUCUGUCAACCCGUCUUCUGUCAUUCCGUCUUCUGUCAACCCACCUAUUGUUAAUCCACCUUUCAUGAAUCCACCUUUUAUGAAUCCACAACCAAGUGCAACAUGUCCGUAUGGUCCACAACCAAGUGCAACAUAUCCAUAUGGUCCACAACCAAGUGCAACAUAUCCGUAUGGUCCACAACCAAGNNNNNNNNNNCCAAGUGCAACAUAUCCGUAUGGUCCACAACCAAGUGCAACAUAUCCAUAUGAGUCACCACCCAAUCCAACAUAUCCAUAUGAGUCAGUGCCAAAUGUUACAAUACCAGAUGUCACACAUUACAUUUCUAACGAGAUACAUAAAAAGGAUAUCCCUAAAGAGUUGUUAAGUUACUCAAGAGAGUUCGUAGAAGAGUUAAACAAUAAUUACGACAUUCUUUCUGUUUAUAUAGACCCACAACAUAAAUACAAAAGUUAUGAUGAAUAUUUAUAUAAAAUGGAUUAUGAUACAAGUCCUUCAGUUACAUUUUCAAACGAUAAUAUUUCAACAAAAAUAAAUUUAAAAAAUUUAAAUUCUAAUAGUUUAGUAAAUACAAAUCCUAGUAAUAGUUAUAACAAUGAAAACGAAAGUAACAAUAAUAAUAAAAGAAAAUUUAAAAUUUUACAUUCUUUGAAGAUUUUAAAUACUGAUACACAAUAUAAAAAUUAUUUUACUGAUGAGACUGAUAUAGAUUACUUAGAUGCAUUAAAUCAUAAUUUAUGGAUAAAAAAACAAAAGUUGAUUGAAAAAGAAAAAAUAAAAGAAGAAAAUAAUUUAAAAAAUAAAUAUUUAUAUAUUAAUAAAUUUAAUUAUAUAAAGAAUAGUAGAAUUCCUUUAUUUGGUUAUAAUUUAAUGAAUUUUAUAAAAAAAGAAUUUAUAAAAGAUAAAAAUAUUGUAUAUCAUUGUAGUAAUAAUAUAAAAAUAGAUUUUAGCAUUAUGAAAGAUGCACCAAUUAAUAAUUACAAUGAAAAUAUAGGUGGUGAUUGUACCGUUGAUGGUGGUAAUACUAUUAGUGGUGGUAAUACUAUUAGUGGUGGUAAUANNNNNNNNNNUAUUAGUGGUGGUAAUACUAUUAGUGGUGGUAAUACUAUUAGUGGUGAUAAUACUAUUAGUGGUAGUAACACUAUCGAUUGUAGUAACACUAUCGAUUGUGAUUUUAAUAAAGAUGAAACAUACGAUAUUUCUCAUAAUAUGCAAAACGUUGUGAAAGUAGGAUUUACUAACAGAAAAAGUGCUCUAGAUGGACAUAGCGAUAUUAUUUUACAAACUUUAUUUCCAACUAUUGAACAUUUUUUAAAAAAAAAAAGAAUCUAUAAUCCAAACAUUUAUUCUUUUAAUUAA